GACGAACGCUGGCGGCGUGCUUAACACAUGCGAGUCGAGCGGUAAGGCCUCUUCGGGGGUACACGAGCGGCGAACGGGUGAGUAACACGUGGGUGACCUGCCCUCAGCUCUGGGAUAAGCCUGGGAAACUGGGUCUAAUACCGGAUAUGACCACAUGUUGCAUGGUGUGUGGUGGAAAGUUUUUUCGGCUGGGGAUGGGCCCGCGGCCUAUCAGCUUGUUGGUGGGGUGAUGGCCUACCAAGGCGACGACGGGUAGCCGGCCUGAGAGGGCGACCGGCCACACUGGGACUGAGACACGGCCCAGACUCCUACGGGAGGCAGCAGUGGGGAAUAUUGCGCAAUGGGCGGAAGCCUGACGCAGCGACGCCGCGUGGGGGAUGACGGCCUUCGGGUUGUAAACCUCUUUCGACCGGGACGAAGCGUAAGUGACGGUACCGGUAGAAGAAGCACCGGCCAACUACGUG
This 464-nucleotide ribosomal RNA is filed under the name uncultured bacterium. RNAcentral's name for it is "partial 16S ribosomal RNA". It matches the Rfam family "Bacterial small subunit ribosomal RNA", at positions 28 to 507 of the family's 1533-position model. The record is from RNAcentral.